Molecule: ribosomal RNA, 500 nt
Filed under: uncultured bacterium
Lineage: Bacteria
Description: partial 16S ribosomal RNA
Rfam family: Bacterial small subunit ribosomal RNA
Source: RNAcentral
AUUGAACGCUGGCGGCAGGCUUAACACAUGCAAGUUGAGCGGGGGAAGGUAGCUUGCUACCGGACCUAGCGGCGGACGGGUGAGUAAUGCUUAGGAAUCUGCCUAUUAGUGGGGGACAACAUCUCGAAAGGGAUGCUAAUACCGCAUACGUCCUACGGGAGAAAGCAGGGGAUCUUCGGACCUCGCGCUAAUAGAUGAGCCUAAGUCGGAUUAGCUAGUUGGUGGGGUAAAGGCCUACCAAGGCGACGAUCUGUAGCGGGUCUGAGAGGAUGAUCCGCCACACUGGGACUGAGACACGGCCCAGACUCCUACGGGAGGCAGCAGUGGGGAAUAUUGGACAAUGGGGGGAGCCCUGAUCCAGCCAUGCCGCGUGUGUGAAGAAGGCCUUAUGGUUGUAAAGCACUUUAAGCGAGGAGGAGGCUACUCUAGUUAAUACCUAGGGAUAGUGACGUUACUCGCAGAAUAAGCACCGGCUAACUCUGUGCCAGCCGCCGCCGUAA